CCCUAGCCCAGAUAGCAGUGAAAAUCCUUGUUUGUGAAAAAUCUAUUUUUUCUUACUAGUGCAGAGCGACCAACGGAAGCUCCUACAAUAGCUUACAAAAAAUGAUUUUUGCAAACAAGAUUGAAACGAAUAGCUGGAUUAGCU
Molecule: small RNA, 144 nt
Filed under: Flavobacterium sp. A45
Lineage: Bacteria; Pseudomonadati; Bacteroidota; Flavobacteriia; Flavobacteriales; Flavobacteriaceae
Description: Flavo-1 RNA
Rfam family: Flavo-1 RNA
Source: Rfam by way of RNAcentral